RNAcentral lists this ribosomal RNA (237 nucleotides) under uncultured Stichotrichia. RNAcentral describes it as "partial Bacterial large subunit ribosomal RNA". It matches the Rfam family "Bacterial large subunit ribosomal RNA", at positions 1 to 253 of the family's 2925-position model. The record is from RNAcentral. Lineage: Eukaryota; Ciliophora; Spirotrichea.
AGCAAGAGAAGGGCGUAUGGGGGAUGCCUAGGCUCCCAGAGGCGAGGAAGGACGUGAUAAGCUGCGAAAAGCCGCGGGGAUCUGCACACGAGAUUUGAUCCGCGGAUGUCCGAAUGGGGCAACCCGGCUGGUUGAAGGCCAGUCAUCCCGAUUUAUCGGGAAGCUAACCCGCUGAACUGAAACAUCUAAGUAGGCGGAGGAAGAGAAAACAAGAGUGAUUCCGAGAGUAGUGGCGAG